RNAcentral lists this transfer RNA (71 nucleotides) under Loxodonta africana (African savanna elephant). It matches the Rfam family "tRNA". From Rfam's summary of the family: Transfer RNA (tRNA) molecules are approximately 80 nucleotides in length. Their secondary structure includes four short double-helical elements and three loops (D, anti-codon, and T loops). Further hydrogen bonds mediate the characteristic L-shaped molecular structure. tRNAs have two regions of fundamental functional importance: the anti-codon, which is responsible for specific mRNA codon recognition, and the 3' end, to which the tRNAs corresponding amino acid is attached (by aminoacyl-tRNA synthetases). tRNAs cope with the degeneracy of the genetic code in two manners: having more than one tRNA (with a specific anti-codon) for a particular amino acid; and 'wobble' base-pairing, i.e. permitting non-standard base-pairing at the 3rd anti-codon position. Lineage: Eukaryota; Metazoa; Chordata; Mammalia; Proboscidea; Elephantidae. The record is from Rfam by way of RNAcentral.
GCAUUGAUGGUUCAGUGAUAGAAUUCUUGACUUCCAUGCAGGAGACCUGAGUUCAAUUCCCAGUCAAUGCA